UACGGAGGAUCCGAGCGUUAUCCGGAUUUAUUGGGUUUAAAGGGUGCGCAGGCGGGAGAUUAAGUCGGCGGUGUAAUUUUGCAGCUCAACUGUAAAAGUGCCUUCGAAACUGGUUUCCUUGAGUGUGGAUGAAGUAGGCGGAAUUUGUGGUGUAGCGGUGAAAUGCAUAGAUAUCACGAGGAACUCCGAUUGCGCAGGCAGCUUACUAAGCCAUAACUGACGCUCAGGCACGAAGGCGUGGGGAUCAAACAGGAUUAGAUACCCU
RNAcentral lists this ribosomal RNA (265 nucleotides) under uncultured prokaryote. RNAcentral describes it as "partial 16S ribosomal RNA". It matches the Rfam family "Bacterial small subunit ribosomal RNA", at positions 524 to 788 of the family's 1533-position model. The record is from RNAcentral.